CCUACGGGCGGCAGCAGUGAGGAAUAUUGGUCAAUGGGCGGGAGCCUGAACCAGCCAAGCCGCGUGAGGGAAGAAGGUACAGCGUAUCGUAAACCUCUUUUGUCAGGGAACAAAGGCGGGGACUAGUCCCCGGAUGAGGGUACCUGAAGAAAAAGCAUCGGCUAACUCCGUGCCAGCAGCCGCGGUAAUACGGAGGAUGCGAGCGUUAUCCGGAUGUAUUGGGUUUAAAGGGUGCGCAGGCGGCCUGGUAAGUCAGCGGUAAAAGCCCGGGGCUCAACCCGGCCGAGCCGUGGAAACUGGCGGGCUGGAGUUGGGGAGAGGGACGCGGAAUGCGCGGUGUAGCGGUGAAAUGCUUAGAUAUCGCGCAGAACCCCGAUUGCGAAGGCAGCGUACCGGCUCCACACUGACGCUGAGGCACGAAAGCGUGGGUAGCGAACAGGAUUAGAUACCCUUGUAGUC
Molecule: ribosomal RNA, 459 nt
Filed under: uncultured bacterium
Lineage: Bacteria
Description: partial 16S ribosomal RNA
Rfam family: Bacterial small subunit ribosomal RNA
Source: RNAcentral